This is a non-coding RNA of Rattus norvegicus (Norway rat), 1965 nucleotides long. Lineage: Eukaryota; Metazoa; Chordata; Mammalia; Rodentia; Muridae. The record is from RefSeq and is a predicted model, not a curated record.
AGUAUAUAUUUAUUGGCUGCCCUUUAAAAAGCAUUUUUUUAAAAAGAAAUAUUUAGUGUCAUUCUGUGUUUGGGUGUCUGCAUGUAUGUGUGUGCAACGCCUGUGGAGAUCAGAGAAAGGGCUCCGAUCUCCUGGACCUGGAGUUGUAGAAGCCACUGCCUGGGUGCUGGGAACCAAUCCUGGGUUGUCUGCAAGAGAAGCCCGUCCUCUUAACUGCUGAGCCAUCUCUGCAGCCGCUAUUAAAAGUAUUUGUGACUUGCUGCCUGGGGUUGGUUUAUCCAAUCGUAACUCAGACCGAUAGUGUCGAUUAUAUACAUAUAUAAAUAUACGAAUAUUCUCCACCCAUUCUAGUCAAGGUUCAGCCGAGUUCAGUUCCUCAGCUUGGAUGAGAUCUCAUAGCUAAGGAUCUCAAAAUACAUCUGGCUCGCUGACCUCAGAGUAAAUGAUGUAAUUUUUGCCAAAUGUCCACACCCAGACUUGCUACAUAAAUAUAGACGGCUAUAUUUGCCCCAUUCUUCAAACACUUCAGAAAUUUUUAUUUCUCGUAUAAAUGACAGUUUGGCCCAAGCUGUAAAUUCUGGUUCCUUCAUCCAGUUACCUGACCACAACCCAGUAAAAGAAAACUCGACAAGCCUACUUUCUCUCAUUGGUUUGAGCCAUGAGCUUGUCCUUGUGGGUCUGAGUUUCCCUGUGACGAGUCUUACAGCAGACAGAGUACCACCUAUAAUACCAAACUCUUCUUCACUGUACUGCUGUCAAUCAGGGUCAACAGUGAGUUGCUAAUGGCAACAGACAAGCCAGCUUUGACCACAUCUUCUUUCUGCUUUGUUGCUUGGUUUUCAACCUAGUUUCACUUUGCCACGCCAGCAGACCUUCCUCAGGAGGCUGAUCAUGGCGCCGUGCAUCUGUACUGCUGGCAUGGACUUACAGUCGCUGUCUCUUUUUCACAAGUUCAGUGAAAAAGUAGAGUCAGGGAGAGUGAAUCAGUUGACCACGACAUGAAUUUACCAGACUUUCUUAGCAUUGUGUCCUGUUGUAACAGCUGUCGGCCUACCCCGUUGCCAGCUUCCAAACAAGCAGAUACAUUUAAGGGGAAAAUGUAUCCAAGAUCUUGAAGGCAGAUGGCAGUUCCUGCUUUCCUUUGAACCCGGAUGCGGAUGCGGUGGGAUAUUUGAUGGACAGAGAGCUUAGCGGCGAGAUCUCCUUGGAAACGACCAAUCACAUACAUCUGCAACCGGCCCUCCUCAAAAUGUUUUUCAGCAAGCAGCAAAGUCCCAUUUGGGGCUGGGGCUUGGGGGCAGUGGUAGAAUGCUUGCCUAGCAGGGGUGAGGCCCCAGCUUUAAAUAACCCUUGGUUUUCCUGUCAUUUCCAUCUGCAAAUCCCAAGCUCUCUACAGGGGUUGUUUUUCUUACCGCUGUGACAAGAGACUUGACAGAAGCUGAAGGAAAGAAGGGCUACCUACCCCGGAAACUUCCUGCAGGCCUCUUGUCUCCCACCUCACCCUAUGGGUGCUGGGAUUACAGACUACCACAAAUAGGAGACAACACAGGUGCCUCCCACUCUCUCGAAAGAAAUUAAAAGAGAGACUGAGAAAGAAGGUGGACUGGUAGGAAGGACAAUUGUUCCUUCUGCAGCUGAAAACAGUCAAGUUUACGUGUGUGGAUAUUUGUGCACGUAUGUCCGUGUACAUGGUCCCUCAGGAGACCAGAAGAGGGAGUCCCAGAUCCCCUGGAAAUGGAGUUACAGAUGGCUUUGAGCUGCCAUGUACAUAAACCAUACUCGUGAAACUCAAGAGAGAUGGCUCAGUGGUUAAGAGCACUGGCUGCUCUUCCAGAGGUCCUGAGUUCAAUUCCCAGCAACCACAUGGUGCUCACAACCAUCUGUUAUGGAAUCUGAUGCCCUCUUCUGGUCUGUCUGAAGACAGCGACAGUGUACUUAUAUAAUAAAUAAAUAAAUCUUUAAAAA